This is a long non-coding RNA of Pistacia vera, 427 nucleotides long. RefSeq lists it as uncharacterized. The record is from RefSeq and is a predicted model, not a curated record. Lineage: Eukaryota; Viridiplantae; Streptophyta; Magnoliopsida; Sapindales; Anacardiaceae. The transcript has 2 exons.
AUAAACAUAUUUUAUAAGCGGUCGCUGAAUUAUUCAUGUAUAAUUGGACUAGCCAUAUAAUUUGCGAAUUUUUGUUUGACUCAAAUUACUCAAAACUCUCUUUUCUCAUCUUCAUCCUUGGUUCUUUGACGUCUUUGACAGUUCUCUUCUCUUUGAAGUCUUCGGCAGUUCGACUCCUUUUCAAAACUUCUUUUCUAACUUUCUUCAUCUCUUAAAUCUUGAUCUCUUCUUCUCUUCUCUUUAGUCUUUCUUUUUAACUCUCUUUUUCAAGCUUUAAGCCCAAAAGUAAGACUUCAAGAGAAAUAUGGUGGGAUUACAAUGGGGAUGAUCUUCCUGUACUCAAGAAGUAUGCCAUUCGAAUUUUGAGUCAAUCUUGUAGCGUUUCAUCAUGUGAGAGAAAUUGGAGUGUUUUUGAAGCCCCUCAAAC